This 440-nucleotide ribosomal RNA is filed under the name uncultured bacterium. Its description in RNAcentral is "partial 16S ribosomal RNA". It matches the Rfam family "Bacterial small subunit ribosomal RNA", at positions 338 to 795 of the family's 1533-position model. The record is from RNAcentral.
CCUACGGGAGGCAGCAGUGGGGAAUAUUGCACAAUGGGGGAAACCCUGAUGCAGCGACGCCGCGUGAAGGAUGAAGUAUUUCGGUAUGUAAACUUCUAUCAGCAGGGAAGAAAAUGACGGUACCUGACUAAGAAGCCCCGGCUAACUACGUGCCAGCAGCCGCGGUAAUACGGAGGGGGCAAGCGUUAUCCGGAUUUACUGGGUGUAAAGGGAGCGUAGACGGUAUGGCAAGUCUGAUGUGAAAACCCGGGGCUCAACCCCGGGACUGUAGUGGAAACUGCCGAACUAGAGUGUCGGAGAGGCAAGUGGAAUGCCUGGUGUAGCGGUGAAAUGCGUAGAUAUACGGAGGAACACCAGUGGCGAAGGCGGAUUGCUGGACAGUAACUGACGCUGAGGCGCGAAAGCGUGGGGAGCAAACAGGAUUAGAUACCCUUGUAGUC